Molecule: ribosomal RNA, 620 nt
Filed under: uncultured Russulaceae
Lineage: Eukaryota; Fungi; Basidiomycota; Agaricomycetes; Russulales; Russulaceae
Description: LSU rRNA
Rfam family: Eukaryotic large subunit ribosomal RNA
Source: RNAcentral
UAAGCGGAGGAAAAGAAACUAACANGGAUUCCCCUAGUAACUGCGAGUGAAGCGGGAAAAGCUCAAAUUUAAAAUCUGGUGGUCUUUGGCCAUCCGAGUUGUAAUUUAGAGAAGCGUCUUCCGCGCUGGACCGUGCACAAGUCUCCUGGAAUGGAGCAUCAUAGAGGGUGAGAAUCCCGUCUUUGACAUGGACUGCCUGCAUGUCGUGGUGCGCUCUCGAAGAGUCGAGUUGUUUGGGAAUGCAGCUCAAAAUGGGUGGUAAAUGCCAUCUAAAGCUAAAUAUUGGCGAGAGACCGAUAGCGAACAAGUACCGUGAGGGAAAGAUGAAAAGAACUUUGGAAAGAGAGUUAAACAGUACGUGAAAUUGCUGAAAGGGAAACGCUUGAAGUCAGUCGCGUUGGCUAGAAAUCAGCCUUGCUUUUGCUUGGUGUACUUUCUUGUUGACGGGUCAGCAUCAGUUUUGAUCACUGGAUAAGGAUUUUGGGAAUGUGGCAUCUUUGGAUGUGUUAUAGCCCAUUGUCGCAUACGGUGGUCAGGAUUGAGGAACUCAGCACGCCGCAAGGCCGGGUCUUUGGAUCACGUUCGUGCUUAGGAUGCUGGCAUAAUGGCUUUAAUCGACC